CAAAAUUGUCAAUAUCCUGGAUGCAACAAUAUACUAUAGAGUUUCAAAAUGUUACCAUUGGAAGAAACUGGGAAAAGUAUACAAAGGAUCUUUAUUAUUUCCUACAACUGCAGAACCCCAGUCUAAUCAUGAGAGAACAUCAGACAGAUUCCAACUCAAGGACAUUCUACAAAAUACCUGACUGGCACUUCUUAUAACUGUCAGGGUCUUCAAAGACAAGGAAAGACUAAGAAGCUGCCACAGCCAAGAGGAGCCUCAGAAGACGUGUUGACAAAACGUAAUGUGGGACUGUGGGACAGAUAAAAGACAUUAGAGAAAAGCUAAGGAAGGCCGAAAGAAUGUGGAAGGCAGCUACUAAUAACGCGUCAACACUGGCUCCUGAGUUGUGCUGUCCGUACUGCACACUGCGGUUACCAUCACGGGAAACUGGGCGCGGGUUGUGUGGGAACUCUGUAUCACCU
RNAcentral lists this long non-coding RNA (461 nucleotides) under Homo sapiens (human). Its description in RNAcentral is "HSALNT0039668". Lineage: Eukaryota; Metazoa; Chordata; Mammalia; Primates; Hominidae. The record is from RNAcentral.